Triticum urartu is the source of this 479-nucleotide non-coding RNA. The record is from RefSeq and is a predicted model, not a curated record. NCBI's taxonomy places the organism in Eukaryota, Viridiplantae, Streptophyta, Magnoliopsida, Poales, Poaceae.
CCCACCGCGUCCGUCACAGUUCGUUCACACCCGCUCCACUCGUCCGUGCUCCUCCUCCCCGCAGCCGAUCCCGUCGUGGAUGCAGCCGCGCGGGAGAUCGUUCAACCGCCGCUCCCGCAGCUUCUCCCGCGCCCGCCUCGCCGUCGAGGGCUCCUAAUCCCGCCCGCCUCCCGUAACGAACCAUCCCCUCUGAAUUCACGCGGGACAGCUCGCGUUAACGGCCACGCGAACGAAGAUGGACGCCGCCGCCGCCGCCGCCGAAAUCGCUGCCAACGGGGUGCUGGCGAAGCUGGAGGAGGAGAGGGAGGCGCAGAAGAGGUACUGGGAGGAGCACUCCAGGGACCUCACCGUCGAGGCCAUGAUGCUCGACUCCCGCGCCGCCGAUCUAGACAAGGAGGAGCGCCCCGAGGUGAUAACCCCAUGCCAUCGCCUCGUUUCCGUUCCCGUUGUUCAGUGAUAAUCGUUAAGUAAUAGCUACG